GCUCGCGUAGCUCAGUGGAUAGAGUGUUCGCCUCCGAAGUGAAAGGACGCUGGUUCAAGUCCAGCCGCGAGUA
Molecule: transfer RNA, 73 nt
Filed under: Acidobacteriota bacterium
Lineage: Bacteria; Pseudomonadati; Acidobacteriota
Description: Acidobacteria bacterium (soil metagenome) tRNA-Arg
Rfam family: tRNA
About the family: Transfer RNA (tRNA) molecules are approximately 80 nucleotides in length. Their secondary structure includes four short double-helical elements and three loops (D, anti-codon, and T loops). Further hydrogen bonds mediate the characteristic L-shaped molecular structure. tRNAs have two regions of fundamental functional importance: the anti-codon, which is responsible for specific mRNA codon recognition, and the 3' end, to which the tRNAs corresponding amino acid is attached (by aminoacyl-tRNA synthetases). tRNAs cope with the degeneracy of the genetic code in two manners: having more than one tRNA (with a specific anti-codon) for a particular amino acid; and 'wobble' base-pairing, i.e. permitting non-standard base-pairing at the 3rd anti-codon position.
Source: RNAcentral